RNAcentral lists this transfer RNA (75 nucleotides) under Hyphomicrobium sp. RNAcentral describes it as "tRNA-Asn". It matches the Rfam family "tRNA". From Rfam's summary of the family: Transfer RNA (tRNA) molecules are approximately 80 nucleotides in length. Their secondary structure includes four short double-helical elements and three loops (D, anti-codon, and T loops). Further hydrogen bonds mediate the characteristic L-shaped molecular structure. tRNAs have two regions of fundamental functional importance: the anti-codon, which is responsible for specific mRNA codon recognition, and the 3' end, to which the tRNAs corresponding amino acid is attached (by aminoacyl-tRNA synthetases). tRNAs cope with the degeneracy of the genetic code in two manners: having more than one tRNA (with a specific anti-codon) for a particular amino acid; and 'wobble' base-pairing, i.e. permitting non-standard base-pairing at the 3rd anti-codon position. RNAcentral also lists the same sequence under 23 other names. Lineage: Bacteria; Pseudomonadati; Pseudomonadota; Alphaproteobacteria; Hyphomicrobiales; Hyphomicrobiaceae. The record is from RNAcentral.
UCCGCGGUAGCUCAGUGGUAGAGCAAUCGGCUGUUAACCGAUCGGUCGUAGGUUCGAAUCCUACCCGCGGAGCCA